RNAcentral lists this ribosomal RNA (551 nucleotides) under uncultured bacterium. RNAcentral describes it as "bacterial SSU rRNA". It matches the Rfam family "Bacterial small subunit ribosomal RNA", at positions 355 to 896 of the family's 1533-position model. The record is from RNAcentral.
UGAGGAAUUUUGCGCAAUGGGGGCAACCCUGACGCAGCAACGCCGCGUGAGUGAAGAAGGCCUUUGGGUCGUAAAGCUCUGUCAACUGGGAAGAAAUUAGUUUUAUUUAAUAGAUAAGGCUAUUGACGGUACCAGUGGAGGAAGCGCCGGCUAACUCCGUGCCAGCAGCCGCGGUAACACGGGGGGCGCAAGCGUUAUUCGGAAUUAUUGGGCGUAAAGGGCGCGCAGGCGGUCUUGUCCGUCAGGUGUGAAAGCCCGGGGCUCAACCCCGGAAGUGCACUUGAAACAGCAAGACUUGAAUACGGGAGAGGAGAGAGGAAUUCCUGGUGUAGAGGUGAAAUUCGUAGAUAUCAGGAGGAACACCGAUGGCGAAGGCAUCUCUCUGGACCGAUAUUGACGCUGAGGCGCGAAGGCGUGGGUAGCGAACGGGAUUAGAUACCCCGGUAGUCCACGCAGUAAACGUUGUACACUCGGUGUGGCGGAUAUUAAAAUCUGCUGUGCCUAAGCUAACGCAUUAAGUGUACCGCCUGGGAAGUACGGUCGCAAGACUA